Molecule: small nuclear RNA, 106 nt
Organism: Grammomys surdaster
Lineage: Eukaryota; Metazoa; Chordata; Mammalia; Rodentia; Muridae
Source: RefSeq, a predicted model, not a curated record
GAGCUCACAAUAGCAGCAGAUAUACCAAAAUAGGAUUGAUACACAGAAGAUUAGCAUGGCUCCUAUGUAAGGAUGACAUGCAAUUUAUGAACUAUUUCAUAUUAUA